Molecule: ribosomal RNA, 467 nt
Filed under: uncultured bacterium
Lineage: Bacteria
Description: partial 16S ribosomal RNA
Rfam family: Bacterial small subunit ribosomal RNA
Source: RNAcentral
GACGAACGCUGGCGGCGUGCUUAACACAUGCAAGUCGAACGGAAAGGCCCUGCUUUUGUGGGGUGCUCGAGUGGCGAACGGGUGAGUAACACGUGAGUAACCUGCCCUUGACUUUGGGAUAACUUCAGGAAACUGGGGCUAAUACCGGAUAGGAGCUCCUGCUGCAUGGUGGGGGUUGGAAAGUUUCGGCGGUUGGGGAUGGACUCGCGGCUUAUCAGCUUGUUGGUGGGGUAGUGGCUUACCAAGGCUUUGACGGGUAGCCGGCCUGGGAGGGUGACCGGCAACAUUGGGACUGAGAUAGGGCCAAGACUCAUACGGGAGGAAGCAGUGGGGAAUAUUGCACAAUGGGCGGAGGCCGGAUGCAGCAACGCCGCGUGCGGGAUGACGGCCUUCGGGUUGUAAACCGCUUUCGCCUGUGACGAAGCGUGAGUGACGGUAAUGGGUAAAGAAGCACCGGCUAACUACGU